This 460-nucleotide ribosomal RNA is filed under the name uncultured bacterium. RNAcentral's name for it is "partial 16S ribosomal RNA". It matches the Rfam family "Bacterial small subunit ribosomal RNA", at positions 338 to 795 of the family's 1533-position model. The record is from RNAcentral.
CCUACGGGUGGCAGCAGUGAGGAAUAUUGGUCAAUGGCCGGAAGGCUGAACCAGCCAAGCCGCGUGAAGGACGAAGGUGCCAAGCAUUGUAAACUUCUUUUGUCAAGGGAUAAAAUCAGGCUCGAGAGCCUGUCCGUGUGUACUUGAAGAAAAAGCAUCGGCUAACUCCGUGCCAGCAGCCGCGGUAAUACGGAGGAUGCGAGCGUUAAUCGGAAUUACUGGGCGUAAAGCGCUCGUAGGCGGUAUGUUAAGUCAAGUGUGAAAUCCCCGGGCUCAACGGGGGAACUGCCUUUGAAACUGGCAGACUGGAGUGUGUGAGAGGAUAGUGGAAUUCCAGGUGUAGGGGUGAAAUCCGUAGAUAUCUGGAGGAACACCAGUGGCGAAGGCGACUAUCUGGCACAUAACUGACGCUGAGGAGCGAAAGCGUGGGUAGCAAACAGGAUUAGAUACCCUUGUAGUC